This 3104-nucleotide ribosomal RNA is filed under the name Klebsiella pneumoniae. RNAcentral describes it as "23S ribosomal RNA". It matches the Rfam family "Bacterial large subunit ribosomal RNA". The record is from RNAcentral. Lineage: Bacteria; Pseudomonadati; Pseudomonadota; Gammaproteobacteria; Enterobacterales; Enterobacteriaceae.
UUGUUUGUUUUUUUGAGCGUUCGGUGGAUGCCUUGGCAUCAGGGGCCGAUGAAGGACGUGGUGGCCUGCGAUAAGCCUCGGGGAGCCGGCUGACGGGCUGUGAUCCGAGGGUGUCCGAAUGGGGGGACCCGGCACGAGUUAUGUCGUGUCACUCGUACCUGAAUUCAUAGGGUGCGGGGGGUGACGCGGGGAAGUGAAACAUCUCAGUACCCGUAGGAGAAGAUAUUCCGUGAGUAGUGGCGAGCGAAAGCGGAUGAUGGUUAAACCGUGUGCGUGUGAUACCCGGCAGGGGUUGCGUGUGCGGUGUUGUGGGGCGUGUUCUUCCAUCCUCUGCCGGGGGUGGGCGCAGUGAGAAACUGGUGUGGUAGCUGAACCUCCUGGGAAGGGGGGCCGUAGUGGGUGAUAGCCCCGUAGGUGAAACCAUGCUGGCUGCGUGGGUGCGUUCCCGAGUAGCACGGGGCUCGUGGAAUCCUGUGUGAAUCUGCCAAGACCACUUGGCUGCCUGAAUACCUCCUGAUGACCGAUAGCGGAUAGUACCGUGAGGGAAUGGUGAAAAGUACCCCGGGAGGGGAGUGAAAUAGUACCUGAAACCGGGCGCUUACAAGCCGUCAGAGCCUUUCCUUUGUGGGGGUGAUGGCGUGCCUAUUGAAGAAUGAGCCUGCGAGUUAGCGCCGUGUCGCGAGGUUAACCCUUGGGGGGGUAGCCGUAGCGAGAGCGAGUCUGAAAGGGCGAGUUAAGUGGCACGGUCUAGACCCGAAGCGGGGUGAUCUACCCAUGGCCAGGUUGAAGCACGUGUAAGAGCGUGUGGAGGACCGAACCCACCUAGGUUGAAAACUGGGGGGAUGAGCUGUGGGUAGGGGUGAAAGGCCAAUCAAACUCCGUGAUAGCUGGUUCUCCCCGAAAUGCAUUUAGGUGCAGCGUCUCGUGGUCCCCGGCGGAGGUAGAGCUACUGGGUGGCUGAUGGGCCCCACAGGGUUACUGACGUCAACCAAACUCCGAAUGCCGUUCGGGUUAUAGCGGGGCAGUGAGACAGCGGGGGAUAAGCUCCGUUGUCGAGAGGGAAACAGCCCAGAUCGCCGGCUAAGGCCCCUAAGCGUGUGCUAAGUGGGAAAGGAUGUGCGGUCGCGCAGACAACCAGGAGGUUGGCUUAGAAGCAGCCAUCCUUGAAAGAGUGCGUAAUAGCUCACUGGUCAAGUGAUCGUGCGCCGACAAUGUAGCGGGGCUCAAGCACACCGCCGAAGCCGCGGACCCAUCACGUGUUCCCUACCGGGUUUGUCCUGGUCAGGGGUGGUGGGUGGUAGGGGAGCGUCCUGCACCGGGUGAAGCCGCAGAGUGAUCUAGUGGUGGACGGUGCGGGAGUGAGAAUGCAGGCAUGAGUAGCGAUACUAGGGUGAGAAGCCCUAGCGCCGAAUGACCAAGGGUUCCAGGGCCAGGCUAGUCCGCCCUGGGUGAGUCGGGACCUAAGGCGAGGCCGACAGGCGUAGUCGAUGGAUGACGGGUUGAUAUUCCCGUACCGGCGAAGCACCGCCCAUGCUGACGCGCGGGUGCUAACCCACGCCCGGCACCACAAUCGCGCCUUCUGGUGGCUUCGGCUGCCUGUUGGUGUGGUGGUGUGGGGUCUGGGGACCCUCCGUGCAGGUAGGCAAGCGUGUUAACAGGGGUGACGCACAGUGGUAGCCUCCGCGGGCCUAAUGGCUUGGCCCGUUCAAGCGAGCAGCCCGACAGCCAGGCAAAUCCGGUUGUCUUCCUUUGAUGGUAAGGGUCAGACGUGAUGGUGACCUGCCCUUCUCGGGUGGGGAAGUAGGGUGAUCCUGGGGUGCCGAGAAAAGCCUCGACGCGAUGGUGCCAGCCGCCCGUACCCUAAACCGACACAGGUGGUCGGGCAGAGUAUGCCUAGGCGCACGAGUGAAUCAUGGUGAAGGAACUCGGCAAAAUGCCCCCGUAACUUCGGGAGAAGGGGGGCCCGAGCCUUGAAGCCCCUUUUUGCGGGCUAGGGGUGAGGGUCGCAGAGACCAGGGAGAAGCGACUGUUUACUAAAAACACAGGUCCGUGCGAAGCCGCAAGGCGAUGUAUACGGACUGACGCCUUAAGCCCCAGUAAACGGCGGUGGUAACUAUAACCAUCCUAAGGUAGCGAAAUUCCUUGUCGGGUAAGUUCCGACCUGCACGAAUGGCGUAACGACUUCUCCACUGUCUCCACCAUGAGCUCGGCGAAAUUGCACUACGAGUAAAGAUGCUCGUUACGCGCAGAAGGACGGAAAGACCCCGGGACCUUUACUACAGCUUGGUAUUGGCGCCCGCUAUGGCUUGUGCAGGAUAGGUGGGAGACUGUGAAGCAGCCACGCCAGUGGUUGUGGAGUCGUCGUUGAAAUACCACUCUGGCUAUGGCGUGCGCCUGAACCUCGGCCCGUGAUCCGGGUCAGGGACAGUGCCUGGUGGGUAGUUUAACUGGGGCGGUUGCCUCCUAAAAUGUAACGGAGGCGCUCAAAGGUUCCCUCAGCCUGGUCGGCAACCAGGUGUUGAGUGUAAGUGCACAAGGGAGCUUGACUGCGAGACCGACGGGUCAAGCAGGUACGAAAGUAGGAACUAGUGAUCCGGCGAUCCCGAGUGGGUGGGUCGUCGCUCAACGGAUAAAAGGUACCCCGGGGAUAACAGGCUGAUCCUGCCCAAGAGUCCAUAUCGACGGCAUGGUUUGGCACCUCGAUGUCGGCUCGUCGCAUCCUGGGGCUGGAGCAGGUCCCAAGGGUUGGGCUGUUCGCCCAUUAAAGCGGUACGCGAGCUGGGUUUAGAACGUCGUGAGACAGUUCGGUCCCUAUCCUCUGCGCGCGCAGGAUACUUGAGAAGGCCUGUCCCUAGUACGAGAGGACCGGGACGGACGAACCUCUGGUGUGCCAGUUGUCCCGCCCGGGGCACGGCUGGUUGGCUACGUUCGGAACGGGUAACCGCUGAAAGCAUCUAAGCGGGAAACCAUCUUCAAGAUGAGGUAUCCACACCACCCCUCGGGGUGGUGGAAGGCCCCCAGCAGACCACUGGGUAGAUAGGCCGGACGUGGAAGACCCGCAAGGGUUGGAGCUGACCGGUACUAAUUGGCCAACACAAACAACA